UCUAGGGAAGGUCACCUCGAGUCUGCUGCCCAGGCAGCGCGUGGCCCCUCUGAAAAGCAGUUGUUAACAUCCCUAAUCAGACUCCACAGCCGCCCCUGGGCUGCUGUCCUCUGAGCCCAGGAAAGUCUGCUUUAUUUUUCCUGUGGAAAAACAGGCUGGGGCCUGGGGAUUGGCGCCGCGAUCUUGGCACCCUAGGAACUGCAGCCGCCCCUUCACCUGAGCUAACGGCUAGGGCACAAAUGAAGGAAAGCGCUUCCCUUCUAGGAGAAACGAGCAGCUGGAAAUCACGCAGGGGGUGGCGGCCGAGGGCGCACGUGGCAGGCACCCUGGAGGCGAACCGCCUCCUUCCAUGUGCGCUCCGCUCCCGAACCACCUGCCCGCUGCUGAGAGGCGUCCUCCGCCCGCCCGAGCCCCAGGCCGGCCCAGAACUACCUGCUGCUGCCUAGGCGCCCUCGGGCCAAGUCUCAGAAGUUCACUCCCCGUCGCGCUGGUCCGGGAGGCUGGGCAUCUGCUGAAACCCAACCUGCCCUAGAGAGCCGGAGCUCACCCACCCCUGCCCAGCUUGCCUUUCAGUCUGAGAAGGACACCAUGAGGGAACCGCACCAGAACCUGCUAUGGAUAACAAGAUCCAGGACCUUGAGCCUGGACUGAUGCUGCGAGGAGCUUCCAGGCAUAAGACUUAAGAAACUGGAAACAUCUACUUCCUGUACCUUGGACACUCUUUUGGAGCCCCAGCUCACCAGAUGAGAAGUCCAGCUGCCCCCAUGGCCACCAUGUUGUAGCAGCCCAAGCUAGCUUUGUGGAGAGGCUUUGUAAAGGGAGGGAAAGAGGAAGAGGAGUGGGUGGGUUGUCUGGCCAAUAGUCAGCUCUUCUGGCCCCUGCUGUGACAAUCUCCUCAGCUGGAGCCUCCAGGAUUAUAGGAAAGGAAUAAGCCACCCCUACUGGGUCCUGUCUGAGUUCCUGACCCACAGAAAUAGACAAGGUAGUAAGAAAUUAUUGUAUUAAGCUACUUAGUUUUAGGGUGAUUUGUUACAGAGCAAUAGAUAACCAGAACAAUUUACUAACUUGAAUAGAUGUCAAAAAAUAAAUUGAAAGUAGAAAACUCUAACUCUAAAAUAACACACAUGGUUCUGUUUUGGAAAUAUGCAAAAUAACGUGUGAUGGUGUUUGUGUAUACUAUCCAUUUACUCAAUAUAUUUGCACAAAAACUGGAAUGCUUUCUGUGAACUAACUCUGGAGAAUCAGUAUUAGGGUAUUAAAAUCUACAAUAAAGAUU
This is a non-coding RNA of Heterocephalus glaber (naked mole-rat), 1276 nucleotides long. NCBI's taxonomy places the organism in Eukaryota, Metazoa, Chordata, Mammalia, Rodentia, Bathyergidae. The record is from RefSeq and is a predicted model, not a curated record.